This 1510-nucleotide ribosomal RNA is filed under the name Klebsiella sp. ok1_1_9_S29. Its description in RNAcentral is "bacterial SSU rRNA". It matches the Rfam family "Bacterial small subunit ribosomal RNA". Lineage: Bacteria; Pseudomonadati; Pseudomonadota; Gammaproteobacteria; Enterobacterales; Enterobacteriaceae. The record is from RNAcentral.
AUUGAACGCUGGCGGCAGGCCUAACACAUGCAAGUCGAGCGGUAGCACAGAGAGCUUGCUCUCGGGUGACGAGCGGCGGACGGGUGAGUAAUGUCUGGGAAACUGCCUGAUGGAGGGGGAUAACUACUGGAAACGGUAGCUAAUACCGCAUAAUGUCGCAAGACCAAAGUGGGGGACCUUCGGGCCUCAUGCCAUCAGAUGUGCCCAGAUGGGAUUAGCUAGUAGGUGGGGUAACGGCUCACCUAGGCGACGAUCCCUAGCUGGUCUGAGAGGAUGACCAGCCACACUGGAACUGAGACACGGUCCAGACUCCUACGGGAGGCAGCAGUGGGGAAUAUUGCACAAUGGGCGCAAGCCUGAUGCAGCCAUGCCGCGUGUGUGAAGAAGGCCUUCGGGUUGUAAAGCACUUUCAGCGGGGAGGAAGGCGGUAAGGUUAAUAACCUCAUCGAUUGACGUUACCCGCAGAAGAAGCACCGGCUAACUCCGUGCCAGCAGCCGCGGUAAUACGGAGGGUGCAAGCGUUAAUCGGAAUUACUGGGCGUAAAGCGCACGCAGGCGGUCUGUCAAGUCGGAUGUGAAAUCCCCGGGCUCAACCUGGGAACUGCAUUCGAAACUGGCAGGCUAGAGUCUUGUAGAGGGGGGUAGAAUUCCAGGUGUAGCGGUGAAAUGCGUAGAGAUCUGGAGGAAUACCGGUGGCGAAGGCGGCCCCCUGGACAAAGACUGACGCUCAGGUGCGAAAGCGUGGGGAGCAAACAGGAUUAGAUACCCUGGUAGUCCACGCCGUAAACGAUGUCGAUUUGGAGGUUGUGCCCUUGAGGCGUGGCUUCCGGAGCUAACGCGUUAAAUCGACCGCCUGGGGAGUACGGCCGCAAGGUUAAAACUCAAAUGAAUUGACGGGGGCCCGCACAAGCGGUGGAGCAUGUGGUUUAAUUCGAUGCAACGCGAAGAACCUUACCUGGUCUUGACAUCCACAGAACUUUCCAGAGAUGGAUUGGUGCCUUCGGGAACUGUGAGACAGGUGCUGCAUGGCUGUCGUCAGCUCGUGUUGUGAAAUGUUGGGUUAAGUCCCGCAACGAGCGCAACCCUUAUCCUUUGUUGCCAGCGGUCCGGCCGGGAACUCAAAGGAGACUGCCAGUGAUAAACUGGAGGAAGGUGGGGAUGACGUCAAGUCAUCAUGGCCCUUACGACCAGGGCUACACACGUGCUACAAUGGCAUAUACAAAGAGAAGCGACCUCGCGAGAGCAAGCGGACCUCAUAAAGUAUGUCGUAGUCCGGAUUGGAGUCUGCAACUCGACUCCAUGAAGUCGGAAUCGCUAGUAAUCGUAGAUCAGAAUGCUACGGUGAAUACGUUCCCGGGCCUUGUACACACCGCCCGUCACACCAUGGGAGUGGGUUGCAAAAGAAGUAGGUAGCUUAACCUUCGGGAGGGCGCUUACCACUUUGUGAUUCAUGACUGGGGUGAAGUCGUAACAAGGUAACCGUAGGGGAACCUGCGGCUGGAUCACCUCC